UUUAUGAUGGUCUGCAAAGAGCACCAUUGACUUACAAGUUAGAAAAGGAGCAAAAAGUGUGAGAAAAAUUGCCACUGCCAAUUCUGCUGCGGACUGUGGGCUUUCUAUUCUCAUGGAUGGCUCAGAUUCCUCACCACAUUUUCCCGUUGGCCCCUUUCUUAUCCGACAUUGCAUUAUCUAAAAAUGUUUGGUGAAUUGUAAGGUACUUGGUAAUGUUGCUGUUGCUGCUAUUGUAACAGGUACAGGGAGAUGAGGUGUCCUUCUCCCAACCCUCCCACAGGUCCAAGGACUUGGAAGUUAACUUUUGAGAGCUGAACAAUACAACAAUAAAUAAUUGAUGACAUUUGUUUAAAGAAAUGACCUUAAAAUGUAGAAGAAAUAACAAAGCCAAAACAUUUUCCCAUGAGUUUGCCUAAAUAUGAAGUAAAAUUUUGGCUUCCUAAAAAAAAAAAUCAGGGGUGCAUACAAUGUUUUAUGCACAAAAAUAUGUUUCAUUGUUAUUGAUUUAAAUAAAAAUGGAAACAAUUCUAUCAGUAAGUGGGGAAUUCAUUAAGCAAGUUAUAGUACGUAGCUAUAAUGGAAAGACCCAUCACCAUUAAAAAUGUUAUAAAAAGUUUUUAGUGACAUAGAAGAAUGUGUAUGGUAAAAUGCUGAGCAUAAAAGGAAGAUAUAACCCCUUAUAAAAAGAAAUAUCUCAACUAGCUUUUUAAAAAAUGCAUGGAAGUCUGACUAAAAGGAAAGACACUAAAAAUAUUAAUGAGUAGUAGGAGUUUGGGUGAUUUCACUUUUCUGCCUUUAGAUAUUUUAUAUUUUGACAUAAAGCCUAAACAAGAAUAUUGGCAAACUUGAGAAGAUAAUACCUGAACAGAUUAGAAGCGUUUAAUGAGGUCUAGAGUAAGGGUCUCCAAGAGCAAGUUUGUCAAAGUUUAUGUAGCAAUGCCAGGGAAGAGUAAGAUUGAUACAUCACACCCAGUUGGCAGUCAAUAUAAAAAUCAUCCAUUCAUCUUCUCUCAUACUUAUUUCAGUUCAGUGCUUACCAAGCAAAUUUAUGAUUUUCAUUGGCAUUCUUAUGUGUUCCCCUGAUAGGCAAAAUUCACUGACUGCACCAACAUGUACCUUAUGUUAUUUUGGCUUAUAUACAUCAGUCUCCUGUGAGUUGGUUGGUGGGAAUCAGUUCUGGAGAAAUCAGUCAUUUCUUGGUGCCCUGAUAAGAUCAAAUUUCUGGACCUGCAAACCUGAAGGCUGGCUGCUGAGCUGCAGAAACAACACAAGAAUUGUUGACCACUGAUGAGUGGUCUGUGACCACUGAUGGCACUAGAACACCCACAAAUUGCCUCAUUGUUACUACUCUUAUAUGACAAUCACAGUCUCAGAGCUGGCCCUUAAGCUGGCUCUCCCUUCCAGGCUUUCUAAGAGAUACUUUGUUUUAUUCUCAGGGGAUGACAGCAUGGGAGGAAGUGGCUCCACAUCUAAACCCAACACUGAAAGACAAGGCACUCUCUCCACAGCAGCCCCAACAACUAGCCCUGCACCCUGUCUCUCUAACCACCACAAGUAAAUGAGCAUUCUCCCAUCUGUUUCAUCUUGUACCACAUGGGAUUUGAUGUUGUGUUGACAGUCUUGGCUUGGGAACUUGGGCAGGGAGACUGGGGAGAAAGGACUAGAAAUAGUAAAAGAACAAAGUCAGUUUGUGAUCUCAGGAGUAUGGCUCUUAAUUUGACAUCCCCUAAGCUUCAAGAGAUCCAUGGAUCCCCUAAGCUUAUAGCUUUCAUCCAUCCCAGGGGAAUCACUUACCUAUGCCAGCACGACUUUCAAACUCUCAGAAGAAAAGAGCAAUCACUUGGCUGAGAACCAUUCUGCAGACUUUGACCCCAUUGUCUAUGCUCAAAUUAAAGUAACAAACUAACCCGGCUUUUCCAAUGAGGCUUGAAUCCAUUUCCUCUCAUCUCAGCCCUAUCUUCACACAUCACUUUCCCUUUUUUACAAAUUUUGGACCACCACCUGUGUGAAACUGCAGUUGGAGUUGUUUAGAUGUGAUCUGGCAAUGCUAUCCACAGCUUUGGAGACCAAUGGUCAGUCUUUUCCUGGACAGAGAAAAGAUUGAUGGCCCACCCGCUUGAACUGACAGCCUGUGAGCCCCUUGGGGGCAUAGACUGCCUUCCUUGGACCCUUCCAAAGUGUGUGGUACAGAGCUCAGUGCACAGAGUAUUCACCCAGCAUCAUGAAUCAACUUGGGAGGAGUCAACCAAAUAAACAAUCUACCAAGAAUUUCAAAUAAAGUCAAACCCCCCCAC
RNAcentral lists this small RNA (2294 nucleotides) under Pongo abelii (Sumatran orangutan). Its description in RNAcentral is "processed transcript". The record is from RNAcentral. Lineage: Eukaryota; Metazoa; Chordata; Mammalia; Primates; Hominidae.